GCUGGGAGUUGUAGUUUUGCAACAGCUGGAGGCGAGGUGGUUGGGAAACACUGCAGUCUAUGGGGCCAUCAAGUGAAGCAGGAUGGAGAUCGCUGCACGUUGGAACCCCACUAUUCGCUCUCUCCACCAGCGUCCACCCUGGGAUUUGUUCUGGAAUUCCUUAUCAUAAAUAAACCAUUUGAUCCUCUGUUGUUGUAUCAUCAAACAGGUAAAUAUUUAGGAUGACAAAUGGGCCGUUGCCAGGCGAUGUAACACAGCUCCACAAAGUGAAGCAUCAGACGUCAAUGAGGAAAGAGACUUAGUGACUGUCCUGGUGGCUGCUGCUUUCCUUUUUCUUCUCCUGCAGGAUUGAUGUUUGUGUAACUUACAGUUCACUAUAAUAACAAUGGAACAUCUCUACCAGUAGACGGCGCCAGAGCAUAAAUCAUAAUGCAGAACUAUGAAGACGACUUGUGGUACUUGGCCGCCUCCUCCAGUGUAAUGUGCUCGGCUGUGGACUCUCAGUUAUGACAGUCUGUAUGUUAUAAAAAAUGUUUUUACUUUGAGAAAUGGUUCCCAGAAGGGACCGUAAUGGGGUCUGACGUACGGGCCAAGAAGUAUGCACUUUAUUUAUAUAAGCUAAAAGGGUGUAUGCUGCUUUAUUAUGUUUCUCACUAUGGUUCCUUUGAUUCUAAUGGUCGGAUAAUCUAUUCUGAAAUAAAAGUAAAACCUUCUUAU
This is a long non-coding RNA of Hyla sarda, 717 nucleotides long. RefSeq lists it as uncharacterized. NCBI's taxonomy places the organism in Eukaryota, Metazoa, Chordata, Amphibia, Anura, Hylidae. The record is from RefSeq and is a predicted model, not a curated record. The transcript has 3 exons.